AUGAGAGGGAGAGAGAGAGAGAGAGAGAGGAAAGGGGAGAGGAAGGGCUUCUACGUCACCGCUCUCUGGAUGCACGCCAUCCACCCGCGCACGCUCGCCACCAACCUCGCCGGCUUCGCCAGGUUCGGCUACCUCAAGGACCUCCCUGAGAUCCUCUAUCGUUUCCUCCACGACCCCCGCGAUGAGCGCAAGGACCAGGAUGACGUCACCGCGGCGGCCCCGGGGGCAAGAAAGGCAAGCGGCAAGCCACGCUGCGUCGACGGCCUUGCCGCCACCGCGACUGAGGCCGCCAAGGCCCGGCGCGAGAAGGAGGCGGAGCACGCGCAGGCCGUGCUCGCGCGUUAUGACUCUGAUGAGGCCUUUCACAACCUCUACUACGGCGUCGCCAACCUCUUCGUCUGGCUGCUCAAGUCGGGCCUGGAGCACCUGCGCGCGGGCGACACGGCCAAGAUCGUGUUCGCCGCCAAGUGCGCUCGUCGUACGCAUAGGUCUCCUUUGCGCCAUGGGUGCCGCUGGCUGAGGAUGGAGCAGCAGGCAUGGAAGAAAUCUACAGCCAAUUUCUCUUGGCUGCGCCAUCUUCCGCUGACAACAACUCUACACAACAGCCUGCUAAGGUGCACCAGGAGAAGUCUGAUGAUAAGGCUGAAGCUCUUUCAUCUUCUGUUGAAGGAAAGAAUGAUAAGGAUGACCAGGGGUAGAUGA
Molecule: ribosomal RNA, 702 nt
Filed under: Triticum aestivum (bread wheat)
Lineage: Eukaryota; Viridiplantae; Streptophyta; Magnoliopsida; Poales; Poaceae
Description: partial small subunit ribosomal RNA
Source: RNAcentral